This 468-nucleotide ribosomal RNA is filed under the name uncultured bacterium. RNAcentral's name for it is "bacterial SSU rRNA". It matches the Rfam family "Bacterial small subunit ribosomal RNA", at positions 30 to 507 of the family's 1533-position model. The record is from RNAcentral.
AUUGAACGCUGGCGGUAUGCUUAACACAUGCAAGUCGAACGGGGGUAGCAAUACCUUAGUGGCGGACGGGUGAGUAAUACAUAGGAAUCUGCCUUGUAGUGGGGGACAACUUGGGGAAACUCAAGCUAAUACCGCAUACGACCUACGGGUGAAAGGGGGCUUCGGCUCUCGCUAUAAGAUGAGCCUAUGUCUGAUUAGCUAGUUGGUGGGGUAAAGGCCUACCAAGGCGACGAUCAGUAGCUGGUCUGAGAGGACGACCAGCCACACUGGGACUGAGACACGGCCCAGACUCCUACGGGAGGCAGCAGUGGGGAAUAUUGGACAAUGGGCGCAAGCCUGAUCCAGCAAUACCGCGUGUGUGAAGAAGGCCUGCGGGUUGUAAAGCACUUUAAGUUGGGAAGAAAAGCUAUGUGUUAAUACCACAUAGUGUUGACGUUACCAACAGAAUAAGCACCGGCUAACUCUGUG